AGGAAUGUAUAGCAAUAGCUACUUGCAUCAUUGUAGAUAUGAUGCAAGCUCGACUAUGUUGAAUAAAAUUCUAGGUAGAAUUAUGAUAAUGACAUUGUCUGCCUAUGUGUCUUGACCAAAUUACGUGCCAGCAGUCGCGGUAAUACGUAGAAGACUAGUGUUAUUCAUGUUUAAUCGGUUUAAAGGGUACCUAGACGGUAGAUCAAGCUUUCUAAUAAAUGAAAAGGACUAAUUUACUAGAGUUACUUAUGAGGGGGUAUUAAAGUACUGCUGGUGUAGAGAUGAAAUUCUGUCAUACCUCUUUUCAAAAGAAAAACCAUGGCACAGGUAUAGGCGAAGGCAUCCCCUUAUGUGAUAACUGACGUUGAGGGACGAAGGCUUUGUGUAGCGAACAGGAUUAGAUACCCUAGUAGUCGAAGCAGAAAAUGAUGAAUGUCAUAGAUUAGAUGUAUAAGUUUAUUCUAUAAAUGAAAGUGUAAGCAUUCCACCUCAUGAGUAAUUUGGCAACAUUGGAACUGAAAUCAUUAGACCGUUUCUGAAACCAGUAGUGAAGUAUGUUGUUUAAUUUGAUGAUCCGCAAAAAACCUUACCACAAUUUGAAUAUUUAUAUUUUUUUUUUGUUUUCUUCUGAUUUUCUUCCUUUUUCCAAAGAAGAAGAAAAUAAUGCUGAUAAAGAUCAAAAAAGGAAGAAAAUUAAGCAAGAGGCAAUAAGAUAUAUUUACAAGCGUUGCACGGCUGUCUUCAGUUAAUGUCGCGAGACUUUGGUUAGUUCCAUUAAAUUAACGUAAACCCUUACUUUAUUUUUAUAUAGAGUAGUUCCCCGCUAUAUUGGAUAUGAU
RNAcentral lists this ribosomal RNA (839 nucleotides) under Xanthoparmelia tegeta. RNAcentral's name for it is "SSU rRNA". It matches the Rfam family "Bacterial small subunit ribosomal RNA", at positions 357 to 1146 of the family's 1533-position model. The record is from RNAcentral. Lineage: Eukaryota; Fungi; Ascomycota; Lecanoromycetes; Lecanorales; Parmeliaceae.